ACGCACGCUGGCGGCGUGCUUAACACCUGCAAGUCGAACGGAAAGGCCCUGCUUUUGUGGGGUGCUCGAGUGGCGAACGGGUGAGUAACACGUGAGUAACCUGCCCUUGACUUUGGGAUAACUUCAGGAAACUGGGGCUAAUACCGGAUAGGAGCUCCUGCUGCAUGGUGGGGGUUGGAAAGUUUCGGCGGUUGGGGAUGGACUCGCGGCUUAUCAGCUUGUUGGUGGGGUAGUGGCUUACCAAGGCUUUGACGGGUAGCCGGCCUGAGAGGGUGACCGGCCACAUUGGGACUGAGAUACGGCCCAGACUCCUACGGGAGGCAGCAGUGGGGAAUAUUGCACAAUGGGCGGAAGCCGGAUGCAGCAACGCCGCGUGCGGGAUGACGGCCUUCGGGUUGUAAACCGCUUUCGCCUGUGACGAAGCGUGAGUGACGGUAAUGGGUAAAGAAGCACCGGCUAACUACGUG
This 467-nucleotide ribosomal RNA is filed under the name uncultured bacterium. RNAcentral describes it as "partial 16S ribosomal RNA". It matches the Rfam family "Bacterial small subunit ribosomal RNA", at positions 29 to 507 of the family's 1533-position model. The record is from RNAcentral.